Long non-coding RNA from Lagenorhynchus albirostris (white-beaked dolphin), 1930 nucleotides. RefSeq lists it as uncharacterized. The record is from RefSeq and is a predicted model, not a curated record. Lineage: Eukaryota; Metazoa; Chordata; Mammalia; Artiodactyla; Delphinidae. The transcript has 3 exons.
CCGGCCCCGCCCCCGGCCCCUCCCCCAUGAGGCUGGGCACGCCCCUGUUGCGAGUCUUCACCUCCCAGCCACCAGGCGCUGUCGGAGCGGAGCCGCCCCCUCGGGAGUUAGGGAGGGCUCUCCAGUCUCUAGCCUCUGGCUCCCCCUUAAACUGGGGUCUGACGGCGUGGCUUGAGCGGGUGCUUGGUUCCCCCGAAAUCUCCGUUAGUUCCACCACCCCUACCGGAAGUAAACAGAAGUUAGGUAAAAACGGGAUGCUUGCUACACUACUGCAGCCUCAAAACCGGCUCCCGGUCCCCCGCCAACCAAAUGCACCCAUUCCCCCCCAGUAUAGAAAUUCAGCAGCCGCUUCUAGUGUGGAGUUGAUGACCAAGAGCCCGGCUGUCUGUGCCCCUAGAUCCCGCCCCUUUAGGCUCCUGCCUCAAGGGUCGGAGCUUCUGAGUUGCCAUUCUUUCCUGGGCCCGAAAGCUUGGCCUAUGGCCCGCAGCCGUACCAGCCGAGUUUCAUCUAAGGGUUUCAUCCACUCAGACGAGGUGGGAGGACUCUGGUGUCUCCUUCUCCCAACUCUUAGUGUUGCCCGCAGUUUCCAUGGCUCCUGGAAGCCGCGAUCGCGUCAGCAGCUGAGGGUGGAGGAGCUCAGAGAGGCUCCUGUCCCUAGCCCUGACCUGGGCGCCAGGCUCUGAGGGGGACCCACUGAGAGCCCCACGGGCCUGAUGCCUGGUGCUGCCUGCUGUUCCCGGCACUGCCAUCACCCCUAGCUACUGGACUGUGCUCACCCACUGAGCCCCACUGAAGGAUGCAGGUGCUCUGACGGGGCCCCUGAGGGAAGCUGGGAGUGGUCAGAGAAGAACCUGCGGGUGUGGCUGGCAGAGAGCAGGUAGCAGCGGGCUGAGCUGGCUGGCCGCCUGCGGGCAGCCCUGGAGGCCCUGUCUGAGCAAGCACAGGUGCUGCAGAAGCAGGGAUGCAGGCUGGGACUCGGCAGGACCCAGUGUGAGCUGCUGGCUCCGAAGCAGAAAGUGAGGCUCUGGUCCUCUCCCCGUGAGUCCCCAACAGGGCUACCAUGUUGAAAGUGUCAUCUCUGUGAAUGGCACCCCCUGGAGGUGUGCAGUGCAUUGCCUGGUGUGGCUGGGAGCAGUGGAUAGAGGCAAAGGAAGGACCAGGGAACCUCUGCCCUUCCCCUCCCAGGUAGAAUAAGAGGGAAGGAGGUGGCUGGUUUUAGCUCAGUGGACAGAGGAGUUUCCUCAGAAGCCCAAUCACCCCUGGUGAAGCUUCAGUCCCCAGGGAGGGAGGGAGGGUGAUGCACACUGAGGCUUCUAGGGGAGGUACCCAGCAUCCCUGCCGCAUGUGAGAGUGUGGACAGUGCCACCCUGUGAUGGCCUAGAUACCUAAGCCUUUAUGUGACCUGGUGGUCUCAGCCCACAGCUGACCCUCCUAGAGCCACUGCUCCCUACCAGCCAGGGAGGACCCCGGGAACCCAGUUGACAUGCCUGCCCACUCUCCAGCAUUCCACAGCAGCAGCCCCUGUACUCUUUUUGUUUGUUUGUUUUUUUAAAAUAUAUUUAUUUAUUUUUGGCUGUGUUGGGUCUUCGUUGCCACCGGCGGGCUUUCUCUAGUUGCGGCGAGCAGGGGCUACUCUUCGUUGCAGUGCGCCGACUUCUCACUGUGGCGGCUUCUCUUGCUGCAGAGCAUGGGCUCUAGGCACACGGGCUUCAGUAGUUGUGGCGCAUGGGCUUAGUUACUCCACGACAUGUGGAAUCUUCCCAGACCAGGUCUUGAACCUGUGUCCCCUGCAUUGGCAGGAGGAUUCUUAACCACUGCGCCACCAGGGAAGUCCCAGCCCCUGUACUCUUGCUGGAGCUCCAAAGCCAUCAGGAGCUGGGCUGGAGAAGGUGAUGUGUCUUGUGUCCAGCUGGAGGUGGAGGGUUUUACA